GACCGCGUAGCUCAGUUGGCAGAGCGUUGGGCUAGUAUUCCAAAGGUCGUAGGUUCGAUUCCAACCGUGGCCG
Molecule: transfer RNA, 73 nt
Filed under: Paramuricea clavata
Lineage: Eukaryota; Metazoa; Cnidaria; Anthozoa; Malacalcyonacea; Plexauridae
Rfam family: tRNA
About the family: Transfer RNA (tRNA) molecules are approximately 80 nucleotides in length.
Source: Rfam by way of RNAcentral